RNAcentral lists this transfer RNA (20 nucleotides) under Branta bernicla. Its description in RNAcentral is "partial tRNA-Met". The record is from RNAcentral. Lineage: Eukaryota; Metazoa; Chordata; Aves; Anseriformes; Anatidae.
UUUAACCCCCUCCUCUACUA